GAUGAACGCUGGCGGCGUGCCUAAUACAUGCAAGUAGAACGCUGAAGGAGGAGCUUGCUCUUCUGGAUGAGUUGCGAACGGGUGAGUAACGCGUAGGUAACCUGCCUGGUAGCGGGGGAUAACUAUUGGAAACGAUAGCUAAUACCGCAUGACAACAGUUAUUGCAUGAUAACUGUUUAAAAGGGGCAACUGCUCCACUACCAGAUGGACCUGCGUUGUAUUAGCUAGUUGGUGAGGUAACGGCUCACCAAGGCGACGAUACAUAGCCGACCUGAGAGGGUGAUCGGCCACACUGGGACUGAGACACGGCCCAGACUCCUACGGGAGGCAGCAGUAGGGAAUCUUCGGCAAUGGACGGAAGUCUGACCGAGCAACGCCGCGUGAGUGAAGAAGGGUUUCGGAUCGUAAAGCUCUGUUGUAAGAGAAGAACGAGUGUGAGAGUGGAAAGUUCACACUGUGACGGUAUCUUACCAGAAAGAGACGGCUAACUACGUG
This 495-nucleotide ribosomal RNA is filed under the name uncultured bacterium. RNAcentral's name for it is "partial 16S ribosomal RNA". It matches the Rfam family "Bacterial small subunit ribosomal RNA", at positions 28 to 507 of the family's 1533-position model. The record is from RNAcentral.